UAUUGGACAAUGGGGGCAACCCUGAUCCAGCAAUGCCGCGUGUGUGAAGAAGGUUUUCGGAUUGUAAAGCACUUUCGGCGGGGACGAUGAUGACGGUACCCGCAGAAGAAGCCCCGGCUAACUUCGUGCCAGCAGCCGCGGUAAUACGAAGGGGGCUAGCGUUGCUUGGAAUGACUGGGCGUAAAGGGCGUGUAGGCGGUUUGUACAGUCAGAUGUGAAAUACCCGGGCUUAACCUGGGAGCUGCAUUUGAUACGUGCAGACUAGAGUGUGAGAGAGGGUUGUGGAAUUCCCAGUGUAGAGGUGAAAUUCGUAGAUAUUGGGAAGAACACCGGUGGCGAAGGCGGCAACCUGGCUCAUGACUGACGCUGAGGCGCGAAAGCGUGGGGAGCAAACAGGA
Molecule: ribosomal RNA, 398 nt
Filed under: uncultured bacterium
Lineage: Bacteria
Description: bacterial SSU rRNA
Rfam family: Bacterial small subunit ribosomal RNA
Source: RNAcentral